UGGGGAAUAUUGCGCAAUGGGCGAAAGCCUGACGCAGCAACACCGCGUGAGGGAUGACGGCCUUCGGGUUGUAAACCUCUUUCAGCUCCGACGAAGCGAAACUGACGGUACCUGCAGAAGAAGAUGCGGCCAACUACGUGCCAGCAGCCGCGGUGACACGUAGGCAUCAAGCGUUAUCCGGAUUUAUUGGGCGUAAAGAGCUCGUAGGCGGUUCGGUAAGUCGGGUGUGAAAACUCUGGGCUCAACCCAGAGAGGCCACUCGAUACUGCUGUGACUAGAGUGCGGUAGGGGAGCGGGGAAUUCCUGGUGUAGCGGUGAAAUGCGCAGAUAUCAGGAGGAACACCGGUGGCGAAGGCGGGUCUCUGGGCCGGAACUGACGCUGAGGAGCGAAAGCGUGGGGAGCGAACAGGAUUAGAUACCCUGGUAGUCCACGCCGUAAACGGUGGGCGCUAGGUGUGGGGAUCGUUUCCACGAUCUCCGUGCCGUAGCUAACGCAUUAAGCGCCCC
RNAcentral lists this ribosomal RNA (507 nucleotides) under uncultured bacterium. RNAcentral's name for it is "bacterial SSU rRNA". It matches the Rfam family "Bacterial small subunit ribosomal RNA", at positions 355 to 870 of the family's 1533-position model. The record is from RNAcentral.